GUCGUACGCACUGGCCCAACUGAUUGAUGGUGCUUGCACCUGAUUGACGAUGGAUCACCAGUGAGUGGCGGACGGGUGAGUAACACGUAGGUAACCUGCCCCGGAGCGGGGGAUAACAUUUGGAAACAGAUGCUAAUACCGCAUAACAACAAAAGCCGCAUGGCUUUUGUUUGAAAGAUGGCUUUGGCUAUCACUCUGGGAUGGACCUGCGGUGCAUUAGCUAGUUGGUAAGGUAACGGCUUACCAAGGCGAUGAUGCAUAGCCGAGUUGAGAGACUGAUCGGCCACAAUGGAACUGAGACACGGUCCAUACUCCUACGGGAGGCAGCAGUAGGGAAUCUUCCACAAUGGGCGCAAGCCUGAUGGAGCAACACCGCGUGAGUGAAGAAGGGUUUCGGCUCGUAAAGCUCUGUUGUUGGAGAAGAACGUGCGUGAGAGUAACUGUUCACGCAGUGACGGUAUCCAACCAGAAAGUCACGGGUAACUACGUGCCAGCAGCCGCGGUAAUACG
Molecule: ribosomal RNA, 510 nt
Filed under: Limosilactobacillus reuteri
Lineage: Bacteria; Bacillati; Bacillota; Bacilli; Lactobacillales; Lactobacillaceae
Description: bacterial SSU rRNA
Rfam family: Bacterial small subunit ribosomal RNA
Source: RNAcentral